GUUUGUACUUUGAAGGCUAAAAGAAGUAGAAGACAGAAUUUCAGAUCCUUUAAGCAUUGUGAAAACCUAGAUAGCCUGUGUCUCUGUAGAACUCUAAAUGAAAAUGACAGAAAAACUAAAAGUGGGAUAGGACAGAGUUCAGUCUAUUAAAAUGAAGACUUACAUGUAUAAGGCAACAUUCUGUUCUUCAGGUCCCUUUCCAAGCCAAACUAACUGAAAAGCUGACACCUCCCUUAUCAUUUUAGGUCGAAUGAGCCGGACUCGAUUUAUCAUUAUGCCAACCCAAGGAGAAGGACGGCCAUGCCCCACAGAGCUUACCCAGCAGAAAACCUGCCCAGUGACCCCCUGCUACAGCUGGGUCCUUGGCAACUGGUCUGCAUGUAAAUUGGAGGGUGGAGACUGUGGGGAAGGAGUUCAGAUCCGCAGCCUUUCCUGCAUGGUCCACAAUGGUUCAAUAUCUCAUGCAGCUGGACAUGUCACGGAUGCACUGUGUGGAGAAAUGCCCUUUCAGGACAGCAUCCUGAAACAGCU
Molecule: small RNA, 531 nt
Filed under: Pongo abelii (Sumatran orangutan)
Lineage: Eukaryota; Metazoa; Chordata; Mammalia; Primates; Hominidae
Description: retained intron
Source: RNAcentral